GAUGAACGCUGGCGGCGUGCCUAAUACAUGCAAGUCGAGCGAACGGACGAGAAGCUUGCUUCUCUGAUGUUAGCGGCGGACGGGUGUGUAACACGUGUAUAAUCCACUUAUAUGACUGGGAUAACUUCGGGACACCGGCGCUAAUACCGGAUGAGCUUCUGCUGCGCAUGGUUGAAUAGAGAGAGACGGUGGUUGUGUCUGUUAUCGCUGGAUCUGCGCUGGAUUGGCUAGUUGGUAAGGUCACGGCUUACUAAGGCAACGAUGCAUAGCCGAGCGGAGAGGGUGAUCGGCCACACUGGAGCUUGAACACGGUCCAGAGGCCUGCGGUAGGGAGCAGUAGGGAAUCUUACGCAAUGGGCGGAAGCCUGGCGGAGCAACGCGACGUGAGUGAUGACGGUCUUCCGAUCGUAAAACUCUGUUAUUAGUUAAGAACAGAUGUGUAAGUAACUGUGCAGAUCUUGACGGUACCUAGUCAAAAAGCCACGGCUAACUACGUG
Molecule: ribosomal RNA, 497 nt
Filed under: uncultured bacterium
Lineage: Bacteria
Description: partial 16S ribosomal RNA
Rfam family: Bacterial small subunit ribosomal RNA
Source: RNAcentral